UUUUGUUUAUAGUAAUUUCUGCCCGGUGGAAUUUUAACGGCCGCGGUACUCUGACCGUGCAAAGGUAGCAUAAUCAUUUGCUCUUUUAUUGGGGGCUGGAAUGAAUGGUAUAACGAGAUCUUGACUGUCUCUUUUUUUAAGGUGGAAUUUGCUGUUUUUGUGAAGAAGCAGGGGUGUGGGAGAAAGAACAAGAAGACCCUUUUAAGCUUAACCUGUUUUUUGUGCUUGUUUUGUUUUAUAAAUAGAUAUGUAUUUUUCAAGGGGUUUAAUUGGGGUGAUUAAAAAAGACUUAAUCUUUUUUUUAAGGAUAACUUAUUUGUUUAAGAGAGAGCCAAAGGUUUUGAAAAGAAGAAGAAGUUACUAUAGGGAUAACAGCGUAAUUUUUUCUGAGAGUUCUUAUCGAAAAAAAAGAUUGCGACCUCGAUGUUGACUUAUUGUGUCCCAU
RNAcentral lists this ribosomal RNA (445 nucleotides) under Nemertea sp. Antarctic ARM-2008. Its description in RNAcentral is "partial 16S ribosomal RNA". It matches the Rfam family "Bacterial large subunit ribosomal RNA", at positions 1841 to 2550 of the family's 2925-position model. Lineage: Eukaryota; Metazoa; Nemertea. The record is from RNAcentral.